Molecule: non-coding RNA, 74 nt
Organism: Umbelopsis ramanniana AG
Lineage: Eukaryota; Fungi; Mucoromycota; Umbelopsidomycetes; Umbelopsidales; Umbelopsidaceae
Source: the annotation of a RefSeq genome assembly
GUUCCUUUAGAUGAGUUGGUUACAUCAUCUCCUUUACACGGAGAAGGUCGCCGGUUCGAUCCCGGCAGGGGACA